UGUUGUCCAGCUUCCUCCUACAGUCCAAAGAUAAACCUUAGCUCAUUCUGAAUGUGAUGGUCACAAGUUUACAGAAGAUAGACUAGAGAUCAGAGCUGCUGUGAGCAGUCACACUAUCAGUGAAGAUCAAACUGAAGAUCUACAAAAAUAGUGGUGAAAUCAGUCCACUUUAACGUCCAGAGAAACAAUGACAUUGGUUUAAAAUCCACAUUCCCACUCUGUAGCCAGACUGUCAGAGUUUGACCUCGUAUCCCUUAAAAGGCCGCAGCUUCAGUGUGCUAUGAUUGACUGGAUUCUAGGCGCUGCAGUCCGGUACCUGUAACAUGAGCGUCUCCCGUCGUUGACCCUGUGAUGAACUGGCAGCUUGUCCUGGGAGCCGUCAGUGUGGCAUUCAAAAGGUUUUUUUAAAAACAUGUCUUGUAAAUCCA
RNAcentral lists this long non-coding RNA (428 nucleotides) under Betta splendens (Siamese fighting fish). RNAcentral describes it as "lncRNA (ENSBSLG00000018030.1)". The record is from RNAcentral. Lineage: Eukaryota; Metazoa; Chordata; Actinopteri; Anabantiformes; Osphronemidae.